CAUAUCAAUAAGCGGAGGAAAAGAAACCAACAGGGAUUGCCUUAGUAACGGCGAGUGAAGCGGCAACAGCUCAAAUUUGAAAUCUGGCCCUCGGGUCCGAAUUGUAAUUUGUAGAGGAUGAUUUUGGUGCGGUAUCUUCCGAGUUCCUUGGAACAGGACGCCUUAGAGGGUGAGAGCCCCGUACGGUUGAAUGCCUAGCCUCUGUAAAUCUCCUUCGACGAGUCGAGUAGUUUGGGAAUGCUGCUCUAAAUGGGAGGUAAAUUUCUUCUAAAGCUAAAUAUUGGCCAGAGACCGAUAGCGCACAAGUAGAGUGAUCGAAAGAUGAAAAGCACUUUGAAAAGAGGGUUAAAUAGCACGUGAAAUUGUUGAAAGGGAAGGAUUUGUGACCAGACUUUUUCUGGGCGGAUCAUCCGGGGUUCUCUCCGGUGCACUUUGCCCAGUAAAGGCCAGCAUCGAUUUUCGGCGGCGGAUAAAAGCAGUGGGAAUGUGGCUCCCUACGGGGAGUGUUAUAGCCCAUUGUAUAAUACGCUGCUGGGGAUCGAGGUACGCGCUUCUGCAAGGAUGCUGGCGUAAUGGUUAUCAAUCACCCGUCUUGAAACACGGACCAAGGAGUCGAACAUUUAUGCGAGUGUUUGGGUGUUAAACCCUCACGCGUAAUGAAAGUGAACGGAGGUGAGAGCCCGUACGGGUGCAUCAUCGACCGAUCCUGAAGUUUUCGGAUGGAUUUGAGUAAGAGCAUAACUGUUCGGACCCGAAAGAUGGUGAACUAUGCGUGGAUAGGGUGAAGCCAGAGGAAACUCUGGUGGAGGCUCGCAGCGGUUCUGACGUGCAAAUCGAUCGUCAAAUCUGCGCAUGGGGGCGAAAGACUAAUCGAACCAUCUAGUAGCUG
RNAcentral lists this ribosomal RNA (889 nucleotides) under Pestalotiopsis adusta. RNAcentral's name for it is "LSU rRNA". It matches the Rfam family "Eukaryotic large subunit ribosomal RNA", at positions 39 to 953 of the family's 3401-position model. Lineage: Eukaryota; Fungi; Ascomycota; Sordariomycetes; Amphisphaeriales; Sporocadaceae. The record is from RNAcentral.